GGGUUUUUAUUUUAUGCUUUAAACAUUGAUUUUAUUUUUUAUGUUUUUAGAUGUUCAUGUUUUUGAAUGUUUUAUUCAAAAAAUAUAAAAAAUAAAAUAUAUAUUGACAUGGAUUAAGCAAAGAUAUAUAUUAUUCUAUGUUGCAUAAACAAAUUGGCAAAAUAGAGAUGGAAGAUAAAAAUAUGGUCAAAGUAAU
RNAcentral lists this unclassified non-coding RNA (196 nucleotides) under uncultured Borrelia sp. RNAcentral's name for it is "partial 5S-23S ribosomal RNA intergenic spacer". Lineage: Bacteria; Pseudomonadati; Spirochaetota; Spirochaetia; Spirochaetales; Borreliaceae. The record is from RNAcentral.